AUACAUAUAUAUACAUACAUACUGAAAUUGGAAGGAGACGGAAGAGAAGAUUAGCAUGGCUCCUGCAUAAGGAUAUACAUGCAUCUAUACAUACAUACAUACAUAU
Octopus bimaculoides (California two-spot octopus) is the source of this 106-nucleotide non-coding RNA. NCBI's taxonomy places the organism in Eukaryota, Metazoa, Mollusca, Cephalopoda, Octopoda, Octopodidae. The record is from Rfam.